GUGCUUAACACAUGCAAGUCGAACGAUGAAGCCCAGCUUGCUGGGUGGAUUAGUGGCGAACGGGUGAGUAACACGUGAGUAACCUGCCCUUAACUCUGGGAUAAGCCUGGGAAACUGGGUCUAAUACCGGAUAGGAGCGUCCACCGCAUGGUGGGUGUUGGAAAGAUUUAUCGGUUUUGGAUGGACUCGCGGCCUAUCAGCUUGUUGGUGAGGUAAUGGCUCACCAAGGCGACGACGGGUAGCCGGCCUGAGAGGGUGACCGGCCACACUGGGACUGAGACACGGCCCAGACUCCUACGGGAGGCAGCAGUGGGGAAUAUUGCACAAUGGGCGAAAGCCUGAUGCAGCGACGCCGCGUGAGGGAUGACGGCCUUCGGGUUGUAAACCUCUUUCAGUAGGGAAGAAGCGAAAGUGACGGUACCUGCAGAAGAAGCACCGGCUAACUACGUGCCAGCAGCCGCGGUAAUACGUAGGGUGCGAGCGUUAUCCGGAAUUAUUGGGCGUAAAGAGCUCGUAGGCGGUUUGUCGCGUCUGUCGUGAAAGUCCGGGGCUUAACCCCGGAUCUGCGGUGGGUACGGGCAGACUAGAGUGCAGUAGGGGAGACUGGAAUUCCUGGUGUAGCGGUGGAAUGCGCAGAUAUCAGGAGGAACACCGNGGGCGAAGGCANNNNNCUGGGCNGUA
This 681-nucleotide ribosomal RNA is filed under the name Micrococcus luteus. Its description in RNAcentral is "bacterial SSU rRNA". It matches the Rfam family "Bacterial small subunit ribosomal RNA", at positions 44 to 738 of the family's 1533-position model. The record is from RNAcentral. Lineage: Bacteria; Bacillati; Actinomycetota; Actinomycetes; Micrococcales; Micrococcaceae.